UCGUAACAAGGUUUCCGUAGGUGAACCUGCGGAAGGAUCAUUACCGAGUGAGGGCCCUCUGGGUCCAACCUCCCACCCGUGUUUAUUUUACCUUGUUGCUUCGGCGGGCCCGCCUUAACUGGCCGCCGGGGGGCUCACGCCCCCGGGCCCGCGCCCGCCGAAGACACCCUCGAACUCUGUCUGAAGAUUGUAGUCUGAGUGAAAAUAUAAAUUAUUUAAAACUUUCAACAACGGAUCUCUUGGUUCCGGCAUCGAUGAAGAACGCAGCGAAAUGCGAUACGUAAUGUGAAUUGCAAAUUCAGUGAAUCAUCGAGUCUUUGAACGCACAUUGCGCCCCCUGGUAUUCCGGGGGGCAUGCCUGUCCGAGCGUCAUUGCUGCCCUCAAGCCCGGCUUGUGUGUUGGGCCCCGUCCUCCGAUCCCGGGGGACGGGCCCGAAAGGCAGCGGCGGCACCGCGUCCGGUCCUCGAGCGUAUGGGGCUUUGUCACCCGCUCUGUAGGCCCGGCCGGCGCUUGCCGAUCAACCCAAAUUUUUAUCCAGGUUGACCUCGGAUCAGGUAGGGAUACCCGCUGAACUUAAGCAUAUCAAUAA
Molecule: unclassified non-coding RNA, 590 nt
Filed under: Penicillium nalgiovense
Lineage: Eukaryota; Fungi; Ascomycota; Eurotiomycetes; Eurotiales; Aspergillaceae
Description: sequence contains 18S rRNA gene, ITS1, 5.8S rRNA gene, ITS2, 28S rRNA gene
Rfam family: 5.8S ribosomal RNA (bases 220-372)
Source: RNAcentral